This is a long non-coding RNA of Rana temporaria (common frog), 318 nucleotides long. RefSeq lists it as uncharacterized. The record is from RefSeq and is a predicted model, not a curated record. Lineage: Eukaryota; Metazoa; Chordata; Amphibia; Anura; Ranidae. The transcript has 2 exons.
GGAUCCGAACCUCUAGCUGCAGAGGUGAAUGGCUUGUCAGCACAGUGCCAAUCGCGUUGAGCCACCGCAGCUCCCUUCCUACAGCCAUCUUGCACUUUUAAUGGUCAAAAAAAUAUUGGCCUAUCCGCCAUCUCAGAGCCCCAAUCCAGAAAGUUGUUGGCAGGUUAUAUGCCACACAAAUGGCAAGUCAACUUCUCACUCCAGAUCUUAGCAGUAUCCUGCAGCCAUCUCACACUUUCAGUGGUCAAAAUAUUAGCCUAUCCUCCAUAUCAAAGCCCCAAGCAGGAAAGUUGUUGGCUGGUUAUAUGCCACACAUUU